Molecule: ribosomal RNA, 1404 nt
Filed under: uncultured bacterium
Lineage: Bacteria
Description: 16S ribosomal RNA
Rfam family: Bacterial small subunit ribosomal RNA
Source: RNAcentral
AGAGUUUGAUCCUGGCUCAGGAUGCUUUCUAGCGGCAGGCUUAACACAUGCAAGUCGAGGGGCAGCGGGGAGGAAGCUUGCUUUCUCCGCCGGACACCCGCGCACGGGAGAGUCACACGUAUGCAACCUGCCCCUGUCGGGGGGACAACCCGCCGAAAGGCGGGCUAAACCCGCGUACAUGCCACCGGGGCAUCCCGGAGGCAAGAAAGGCUUCGGCCGGACAGGGAUGGGCAUGCGGCGCAUUAGGCAGUAGGCGGGGAAACGGCCCACCUAACCGACGAUGCGUAGGGGUUCUGAGAGGAAGGUCCCCCACACUGGUAGUGAGACACGGACCAGACUCCUACGGGAGGCAGCAGUGAGGAAUAUUGGUCAAUGGUCGGGAGACUGAACCAGCCAAGCCGCGUGAGGGAGGAAGGUACAGAGUAUGGUAAACCUCUUUUGUCAGGGAACAAAGACUGGGACGCGUCCCUGGAUGAGUGUACGUGAAGAAAAAGCAUCGGUUAACUCCGUGCCAGCAGCCGCGGUAAUACGGAGGAUGCGAGCGUUAUCCGUAUUUAUUGGGUUUAAAGGGUGGGCAGGCGGUCUGUUAAGUCAGUGGUCAAAGCCCGGGGCUCAACCCCGGCCCGCCGUUGAAACUGGCAGUCUCGAGUUGGAGAGAAGUAUGCGGAAUGCGCGGUGUAGCGGUGAAAUGCAUAGAUAUCGCUGCAGAACUCCGAUUGAGAAGGCAGCAUGCCGGCUCCACACAGACGCUGAGGCAGGAAAGCGUGGGUAUCGAACAGGAUUAGAUACCCUGGUAGUCCACGCAGUCAACGAUGAAUGCUGGCUGUCCGGGGGGACUGACCCCUGGGUGGCGAAGCGAAAGCGAUAAGCCAUUCCACCUGGGGAGUACGCCGGCAACGGUGAAACUCAAAGGAAUUGACGGGGGCCCGCACAAGCGGAGGAACAUGUGGUUUAAUUUGAUGAUACGCGAGGAACCUUACCCGGGCUCAAACGGGGAGUGCCGCAGGCAGAGACGCCUGUUUCCCACGGGACACUCCCCGAGGUGCUGCAUGGUUGUCGUCAGCUCGUGCCGUGAGGUGUCGGCUUAAGUGCCAUAACGAGCGCAACCCCCGCGUGCAGUUGCUAACAGAUAACGCUGAGGACUCUGCACGGACUGCCGGCGCAAGCCGCGAGGAAGGCGGGGAUGACGUCAAAUCAGCACGGCCCUUACGUCCGGGGCGACACACGUGUUACAAUGGGUGGUACAGCGGGAAGCCAGGCGGCGACGCCGAGCGGAACCCGAAAUCCACUCUCAGUUCGGAUCGGAGUCUGCAACCCGACUCCGUGAAGCUGGAUUCGCUAGUAAUCGCGCAUCAGCCAUGGCGCGGUGAAUACGUUCCCGGGCCUUGCACUCACCGCCCGUCA